RNAcentral lists this small RNA (125 nucleotides) under Marmota monax (woodchuck). The record is from RNAcentral. Lineage: Eukaryota; Metazoa; Chordata; Mammalia; Rodentia; Sciuridae.
GCUGGGCGUGGUGGCGCACACCUGUAAUCCCAGCGGCUCAGGAGGCUGAGGUAUGAGGAUCAUGAGUUCAAAGCCAGCCUCAGCAACAGCGAGGCGCUAAACAACUCAGUGAGACCCUGUCUCUA